GAGGGUCUGGAGGAUGCCGUGACCUGCUUGGAGAAGCGCCGCUGCUGCCGCCAGUGGUUGCAAGUCGCGAUCUGAUGGCUGGGCAGGCGUUGUUCCGGCGAGGUGCUGCACAGGUAGAAUUGAGGAGUUUUUACCCGCGGCGAUGCCAUUGGCAUAAUCUGAAUCAUUCUUGGUUGCUUUCCAAAUUAUAUCAUGUAUGCUAAAACAUGUCAGCUUAGCCUGUUCGAUCUUGUGCCAAACCUGUUCUAUGUCAAAAGUGGCCUGACAGACAGUCUUGGACCAAGUACUUCAGGAAUAUGGUCCAGCCGUCCAGGUAUGGGAAUGUUUUGAUUGAUUCAAAAAUCACUUCCUUUUUAUACUGAUGAAGAAUGAACACAGGCAAGGAAUAGAUUUCUGUCCUUUUGCAACCGGCACUCAUGUUUGUUUCAAAAAUAGUUCAGAGUUAAAUUCUCUAAAAGCUUGCUACUAAAAAUAUUAGUAUGCAUAUCUCCCCUAAAGCAUAGUGCUGAAACAUUAUGUCAUUGCAAUCAGCCCCAAAUCCUUGAUUUGGCCAGGGCGAAUACACAUUGAGGGGGCCUUGCCUCCUCCUUCCCGCCCACACCUUCAUUCUUUUCCUCCUCUGAUCUUAGAAAGCAUACUAAACUUCACUCCAAUCUUUCCCCUUGACGGGCACUCCAGGACCCGCCUACGCUCGUGAAAACCCAGGUCGGUCCUCCGACCAGAUGUGUGGAUAACGAGGCUUUGUUCAGAGUUUGCAUAACUUUCGUAAAUAGUUCAAGUUCAGUUUCUCUGAACUGAUGCACUUCUUGAAGGGUUCUAUCUGAAUGUGCAUCAAUGUAGCAUUUAGUUUACACAACAUUUUUCCAUCAGCUCGAUUAUCAAUGUACCAUUUAGAUUACACAACAUUUUCCUGUCACAUCAAGUUUACUUGUAAAAGUCCUUCAAUCCAUAUUUCUGAAUUUUGAUGGCAAGAUUCUUUGGUAUUCACCUGUCACAUUGGUUAGCACGGUAGGCAUACAUCUGUCAAAUGUUUCUGUUCUUGUUCGUAUUGACAAGGUUAUACCCAGUUCUCUUUAUAAGAAAGGGGAAUCAUUCAUGUUUGCCAUAUGCUACUGUAAGGUUGCUUUUAUUCUUUCUGGAAGCUUCUUUUGGUUGCUUUCUGUUUCAGAGUUCUGAACUUUCAACUUGAUCUACAUAUGCCAGACAUGCAAAUGAUUUGGCUUAUGCACAUAGGAUGCAUUUCACACUGAUGUUACCAGUGAAGGAAGUACCACAGAUGAAUACAGAAAUCUAUUCCAGUACAUGUUACCAUACUACCCUUUCUUUGUUUGUAUUUUCAGUUUUGGAAAAGGUGGAAAUGGCAAUCACUCAAUAUGGAGGGCAUGUUUGAUAAUGCAACCUGUCUAGGCACAUAAUAGGUCAUGCUUUAAACUUGCAGCUUAUCAGUUCAUGUUUAGGAUUUUUUCCUAAGGCAUUAAGGAGAACCACGAGUUUCAAGAAAAUGUGAUGGUCAGAACCCCACAGGUGGAGGAGGGAUAGGUUAGUUGUGUGUAGAUGGAGUGGUCUCUCUGUUCUUGCGACAUCCAAACCAGCACCUAAAAGAAGAGUGAGAAAUGGCAACAAAGAGCUUGCUGCAGGAGACUCAGUUUUGGCAUCGAACAAAGAUGAAGACUCAGGACUCAGGUGAUGUGACCACCAAAGAGGCAUUGGUCACAGCUUUGGUUGGCCUUGUGGCAUAAACACGAGGCGUUGAGGCAAGAUUUUGCAAGUUCUGAACUUGGUGUGAUGCUGAAGAGCCGAGCACAAUGGAUAUACAUGUGAUGGAUGAUGUUUCCCUCGAUAAUAAGGAGAGGGUGUUUAGUUCUUUUUCUUCUUGCAUAUAAGCAAAAGAAUAUUAGAUAGAGAAUAGUGGAUCAUAUAUAUCUUCCCUACAUCUUCCAGUGUAUCACAUGAAUCUUCUUGCAUGAGAUUUUGUUUAGCUCUAUGGUAGUCAAGUUAAAUAGAUUCGGACCAAAUAGAAGAUAAAAAGAACUACCCUUGUAUUGCUAAUAAAAUCGUUUGUGUAUAAUCGGAAAUACCAUGGAAGCUUGAGUUUUUUCUUGUAAAUAAUAUUUUGGACCUUUUAGAAUUUUUCAAUGAUUUAUCUAUGUCAA
Molecule: long non-coding RNA, 2153 nt
Organism: Setaria italica (foxtail millet)
Lineage: Eukaryota; Viridiplantae; Streptophyta; Magnoliopsida; Poales; Poaceae
Exons: 6
Source: RefSeq, a predicted model, not a curated record